GCCGUUUGGCCACAGUAAAGGAGUGGGCGCCUGGUUCAGCUCCCUGACUCUUCCACAUUGCUGCUACUUGGUUUGGAGCCCUUUUUUGGAACUCACUUGGAACCUUUCAUGUUCCCAGAUGUCACGCAAGGUUUCCUGGCAGUACCUGUGUCUCUUGCUGAGGGAAGCAUCUGGCUCCCAUUUUCUCAUCCCCUCUGCUCUGUUGGUGGCCACAGACCACAUUCCAGAGUAGAGGGGUUUACCCUGGGGUGGAAACCUGAGCCUGCCCAGCAGAGGUUGGGAGCCUGAGGUCAUGCUCCAGAUGACUUGCCACUUGGAGCCAUACUUGUCUGAGCACGUUAUGACCUGCACAAAAAAGCCAGACCAGCAAUGAGCAGGCCCAGGAUAGACAGGGAGAGGCCUGGAGAGGACCACAAACCCAUUCGGGCGGGCUCUGGAACUGGAAAUAAAAGCCUUUUAAAUAGCCCUGGAGCCUGGGCAGCUGCCUCCUCAGUAUGGCCUGAGGUGUGGGGAUGGGUUGCCUGCCGCCUCCCUCCCGUCCCCCCGGAGGCCACGCCUUUCUGGUUCAGAGCUUUAUAGGCACACAUACCAAUUAGGGGACAAACCACAGCUGCUCACGCGCUCUGCCAGUCUGCUGCUGUGCCUGGAAUAGAACCCAGGCGCCCGGCACCCCGCCCCUCCGCAGCCUGGCUCUGAGUAACAAAACCCUGCUUCCAUCUCAGCAACCGUGCACACCACCCUUCCUCCCACGCUAGAAAGUCGCCCCCAGAUUCUUAAGUUGGAAGGUUUGGUUCCCAUGACAACAGACUUGAGCUGGCAGAAUGGGUGACCUGGCUCUGGGAGCCUCCGCAGCGCGGAGGAAGCCGCAUACCCUUGCUGACCAGCCAGAUAACCGCAGUGGCUCUGUCUUUGUGUUCUUGGGUCCUUCCGGGUAGUUCCCCUUUUAAGUCCCCCUUCACCCCCAGCUCCGUGUUUUUCUGCAGCUUCUCUGGCUGCAGCAACCUCGGAAUCCCACAGUGCUUCGAGGAGGCAGGCGGAGGGGGCGGGGAGAUGGGAGAGCAGGCGAUCCCCUUGACCCCCGCAAGAAGAGGAUGAGCCCUCCAAUUUCUUAGGCUUCGCUACGGAGAUGUCAGCGGGAAGGCGAAUUCCAGAUGGGGAAACUGAGGCUCGAGCUGCAGACUUGGCUUUGGAAGAAUCACCUCCCGCAUUCCCUCCCACUCCCGCGGCUUUCCCAAAACCCCUAGGCAGCGGGGGUGGGGGUGCGGGGGCAAAGGAGAGUCUACCCUCCUCCCGUGAAGCCCUCCGGGGCGCUUCGGGUAGGCAAUUUUAGUCAGGAAGGGGCGGGAACUAACGAAACGUCCUCUCCCCUCUACCCAAGGCGUUUGCCCGGCGCCAACCCGCCCCCGCCCGCGCCGGGGUCUCCUCUUCUGCCUGGAGACAGCCGCAAGCUUAGACUGCACACUCCACUGCACACUGACACGCCGCACUCAGAUCCCCACCCCCACAGCGGACCGAUCACACAAUGGCACACGGUACACAGAUCCAUAGGCACACAAUCGCACACUGUCUCAUAGGCACAACGGCAUUGCAAGCAUACACAACCAUAUUGCACAGUCACACACACACACGCAAUUCGGAAACAUCUAGACGCGCAAUGACACAAAGUGGCCUCCCGAUUCCGCCCUUCUUCCAGCACCCACCUCAGCUCAUCACUUCAUGCACACAUGCCAGGAGCUUCCAUCGCUUAUACAGAAACGUUCAGCUUUUCAGAAGAAACGUUUUAUUAUUUUUUUGUCGAAGAAAAAAAGCCAUAUAAAUA
RNAcentral lists this long non-coding RNA (1819 nucleotides) under Homo sapiens (human). RNAcentral describes it as "HSALNT0095421". The record is from RNAcentral. Lineage: Eukaryota; Metazoa; Chordata; Mammalia; Primates; Hominidae.